This 2673-nucleotide ribosomal RNA is filed under the name Triticum aestivum (bread wheat). RNAcentral describes it as "partial small subunit ribosomal RNA". Lineage: Eukaryota; Viridiplantae; Streptophyta; Magnoliopsida; Poales; Poaceae. The record is from RNAcentral.
AUGGGUAUGGUCGCAAGGGAUUCUUCCGUCCUAAUGGGGAAUGGGUCACAUGCUUCUGUUCGUGGCAUUGGCACGGUGGAUCUGAAGUUUACUUCGGGAAAGAUCGUGCAACUAAGGAACGUGCAGCAUGUCCCUACUAUGAACAAGAAUCUAGCUAUGAGUGCGGAGGCUUGUUCCGCUUUUCCCUUUCAGAUUUUUUGCAAUAAGUCAAUAAACCAAAUUUGUGCUAGUGUUAAUGAUGAUGCAAGUAUUUGGCACUCUCGUUUAUGUCAUAUUAAUUUUGGUUUAAUGUCUCGGCUAUCCAGCAUGAGUUUAAUUCCGAACUUCACAGUUGCCAAAGGUUCUAAGUGCCAUAGUUGUGUGCAAUCUAAGCAACCUCGAAAGCCUCAUAAGGCUGCCGAGGAGAGAAACUUGGCACCUCUAGAACUCAUACAUUCUGAUCUUUGUGAGAUGAAUGGUGUGUUGACAAAAGGUGGAAAGAGAUAUUUCAUGACUUUGAUUGAUGAUGCGACUAGAUUUUGCUAUGUUUAUUUGUUGCAAACUAAAGAUGAAGCAUUAGACUACUUUAAAAUCUAUAAAGCUGAAGUUGAAAAUCAACUAGAGAGAAAGAUCAAGCGUCUUAGGUCCGAUCGUGGUGGAGAGUAUUUUCCAAAAGUUUUUGAUGAAUUUUGUGAGGAACAUGGUAUUAUUCAUGAGAGGACGCCUCCCUAUUCACCUCAAUCAAAUGGAGUGGCCGAGAGGAAAAACCGCACAUUGACUGACUUAGUGAAUGCCAUGUUAGACACUGCUAGUUUAUCUAAGGCAUGGUGGGGGGAGGCUCUAUUGACUUCAUGUCAUGUCCUGAAUAGAGUUCCCAACAAUAAUAAAGAGAAAACCCCUUAUGAGGAGUGGGUUGGGAGAAAACCAUCACUUUCUUAUUUGCGCACUUGGGGAUGUUUGGCAAAGGUCAAUAUUCCUAUUCCUAAGAAACGCAAACUUGGACCAAAGACAGUGGAUUGUGUCUUUCUAGGGUAUGCUCAACGGAGCAUUGCUUAUAGGUUUUUAGUGGUAAAAUCUGAAAAGGAUAACAAUGAAGUUCCUAGAAGGAACAAGAGACAAAGGAUUGCAAAAUCCUUUGGUGAUGAUUUCAUUGUAUACCUUGUGGACGACACACCCAAGACGAUUGCAGAAGCAUAUGCAUCUCCGGAUGUAGAUGAUUGGAAAGAAGCUGUUCAUAAUGAGAUGGACUCAAUUCUUUCUAAUGGAACUUGGGAACUAACUGAUAGACCAUAUGGUUGUAAACCUGUGGGCUGUAAGUGGGUGUUCAAAAAGAAGCUGAAGCCUGAUGGUACUAUUGAUAAGUACAAGGCGCGGCUAGUGGCCAAGGGCUACACUCAGAAAGAAGGCGAAGAUUAUUUUGACACCUAUUCACCCGUUGCUAGAAUGACCACCAUUCGAGUGUUACUUUCCUUGGCUGCCUCUUAUGGUCUUAUCAUUCAUCAAAUGGAUGUAAAGACAGCUUUUCUCAAUGGAGAGUUGGAAGAGGAGAUCUAUAUGGAUCAGCCUGACGGGUUUGUGGUAAAGGGUGAAGAGAGAAAGGUGUGCAAGUUGUUAAAAUCUUUGUAUGGUCUGAAACAGGCACCUAAGCAAUGGCAUGAGAAGUUUGGAAGAACUCUGACUUCUGCAGGAUUUGUCAUUAACGAGGCUGAUAGGUGUGUUUACUAUCGCCAUGGUGGGGGCAAUAGUGUCAUAUUAUGUUUGUAUGUGGACGACAUACUGAUCUUUGGUACAAACAUUAAUGCAAUUAAUGAGGUCAAGUCUUUUCUAUCGAAAAGUUUUGACAUGAAAGAUCUGGGAGAAGCCGAUGUAAUUCUAAACAUCAAACUUAUUAAGGAUGAGAGUGGGAUUACAUUAACGCAAUCUCACUAUGUUGAGAAGGUCUUGAACCGAUUCGGUUUUAUGGAUAGCAAGCCUUCUCCAACACCUUAUGAUCCCAGCGUGACACUCAGAAAGAACAAGAAAGAAACAAGAGAUCAAUUAAGAUACUCUCAAAUUGUCGGUUCACUCAUGUACUUAGCUAGCGCUACAAGACCAGAUAUCUCUUUUGCUGUGAGCAAACUGAGUAGGUUCAUGUCCAACCCGGGUGAUGAUCAUUGGCAUGCACUAGAAAGGGUCUUGUGCUAUCUGAGAGGUACUAUAAGUUACGGAAUUACUUAUUCAGGGCAUCCUGCUGUGCUAGAAGGAUAUAGUGAUUCAAAUUGGAUCUCCGAUGUUGAUGUACUUUACGCAACAAGUGGGUAUGUAUUUACUCAUGGUGGUGGCGCAGUGUCAUGGAGGUCUUGCAAGCAAACCAUAUUGACGAGGUCAACUAUGGAAGCAGAAUUAACUGCUUUGGACACAGCUACUGUUGAGGCAGAAUGGCUGCGUGAGCUCUUGAUGGACUUGCCGGUUGUUGAAAAACCUGUACCGGCUAUUCUUAUGAAUUGUGAUAACCAAACACGUGAAAAGACGUUUGAAGUCUGUCAGGAAGUUGAGAAACUCCGGAGUAAUAACUGUUACGUAUAUACAAACAGACGAAAACCUGGCAGAUCCCUUUACAAAGGGACUAUCACGAAAUGUGAUAGAUAUUGCAUCGAGGGAGAUGGGUAUGAGACCCAUAGAUGUUACACCAUAGUAGUAACCCAACCUUUGUGA